UCCAUUUCCACGUCGCGUUAUCUUUGCGCGUUCCCAUAAAAAGCUCUGACGACGCAGUAGACGUCACCAAUCAACAAAACAAGUUCAGACGUGUAAAUUUCCUCAAAUUUUCUGCUGAAGGGGACCGUUUUUUUGAAUUAUGGCCAUUGUUGGAUCCGGAAUAUUCAAGAUUCACCGAAUUUUGGAAGGAACCACUCUCAGUCAUCGAGUCGUGAAAGUACCCGACAGAAGAAU
Long non-coding RNA from Culex quinquefasciatus (southern house mosquito), 234 nucleotides. RefSeq lists it as uncharacterized. NCBI's taxonomy places the organism in Eukaryota, Metazoa, Arthropoda, Insecta, Diptera, Culicidae. The transcript is spliced from 2 exons. The record is from RefSeq and is a predicted model, not a curated record.